UCUAACAUGUACGCGAGUCAUUGGGACUUGUAAAGCCUAAAGGCGCAAUGAAAGUGAAGAUCGACUUUACGUCGAUCGAGGGAGGAUGGCUCGCGUCUCGAUGCGAGCCCGCACUCCCGGGGCGUCUCGUGCUCAUUGCGAGCUGAGGCGCACCCAGAGCGUACACGUUGGGACCCGAAAGAUGGUGAACUAUGCCUGGUCAGGACGAAGUCAGGGGAAACCCUGAUGGAGGUCCGUAGCGAUUCUGACGUGCAAAUCGAUCGUCGGAACUGGGUAUAGGGGCGAAAGACUAAUCGAACCAUCUAGUAGCUGGUUCCUUCCGA
Molecule: ribosomal RNA, 323 nt
Filed under: Cales noacki
Lineage: Eukaryota; Metazoa; Arthropoda; Insecta; Hymenoptera; Calesidae
Description: eukaryotic LSU rRNA
Rfam family: Eukaryotic large subunit ribosomal RNA
Source: RNAcentral